GGCUUUAUAGUCAAAUGUAUGAUAUUAGACUGCAAUUCUAAAGUAGGAUUAAAUUAUAUCCUAAAGCUU
Molecule: transfer RNA, 69 nt
Filed under: Macroscytus subaeneus
Lineage: Eukaryota; Metazoa; Arthropoda; Insecta; Hemiptera; Cydnidae
Description: tRNA-Cys
Rfam family: tRNA
About the family: Transfer RNA (tRNA) molecules are approximately 80 nucleotides in length. Their secondary structure includes four short double-helical elements and three loops (D, anti-codon, and T loops).
Source: RNAcentral